GGGUCGAUGCCCGAGCGGUUAAUGGGGACGGACUGUAAAUUCGUUGGCGAUAUGCCUACGCUGGUUCAAAUCCAGCUCGGCCCA
Molecule: transfer RNA, 84 nt
Filed under: Pontederia cyanea
Lineage: Eukaryota; Viridiplantae; Streptophyta; Magnoliopsida; Commelinales; Pontederiaceae
Also listed under: 10 other names
Description: tRNA-Tyr
Rfam family: tRNA
About the family: Transfer RNA (tRNA) molecules are approximately 80 nucleotides in length. Their secondary structure includes four short double-helical elements and three loops (D, anti-codon, and T loops).
Source: RNAcentral